This 71-nucleotide transfer RNA is filed under the name Marmota monax (woodchuck). Its description in RNAcentral is "tRNA.Ala". The record is from RNAcentral. Lineage: Eukaryota; Metazoa; Chordata; Mammalia; Rodentia; Sciuridae.
GUGUAGCUCAGUGGUAGGGCACUUGCCUAGCACGCAGGAGGCCCUGGACCCUGGGUUUGAUUCCCAAGACA